Molecule: long non-coding RNA, 514 nt
Organism: Pseudophryne corroboree (corroboree frog)
Lineage: Eukaryota; Metazoa; Chordata; Amphibia; Anura; Myobatrachidae
Exons: 2
Source: RefSeq, a predicted model, not a curated record
AGACUGACUCACGGGGAAGAGAAAAAGACAGUUGCUCGUGUGAGGUCGUCAGUUGGUGGUGCAGGGAGGAGAGACAGAGCAGCAGCGGAGGUGUGAGCACCAGACGAUAAAGGAGAGGUGAACUUACGUAAAGAUUUGGGGGAGUGUAUCCACGAAGCUCCCGGCCACCCGCAUUGAUCGAUCCGCUGUAAGCCGAACAGAGGCGGGUGGAUCUCGUCUAUGACCCGUCAGAAGCCGCAUUGAAGUCCGCCUCCUAAGUGAGUGGGCGGUACGUACUGGCAAGGCAGAGAGCUAGGAGGGAGGUGCGGCUGGGAUACUAAGAGCGACGCGACCCUCCGGAGCUGCUGGAUAGAGGACACAGCCUCAUAGAGACUGAAGGGCAGCUGUCCUGGCCAAUAAUUGAGUUGGGAGGAGGAGUCGAGGGAGAGGCUAUUCCCCUUUCAGGCUGACAGAUGAAUACGAAGAACCUGCAACGAAGAAAUAGAAGGUGUAAAAGGUAACGCCGUGAUAUGAG